Molecule: ribosomal RNA, 253 nt
Filed under: uncultured bacterium
Lineage: Bacteria
Description: partial 16S ribosomal RNA
Rfam family: Bacterial small subunit ribosomal RNA
Source: RNAcentral
UACAGAGAGGGCAAGCGUUGUCCGGAAUGACUGGGCGUAAAGCGCACGUAGGCGGCUUUCUAAGUCGGGGGUGAAAUCCUGGAGCUCAACUCCAGAACUGCCUUCGAUACUGGAAAGCUCGAGUCCGGGAGAGGUGAGUGGAACUGCGAGUGUAGAGGUGAAAUUCGUAGAUAUUCGCAAGAACACCAGUGGCGAAGGCGGCUCACUGGCCCGGUACUGACGCUGAGGUGCGAAAGCGUGGGGAGCAAACAGG